GCCGCGCCCCGACCUGAACGAAGCUCUUUUUUGCGAAAUGCAAUGGAGCAAAAAAAGCGGGAGUGGAGGGCGGAAAAAGGC
RNAcentral lists this unclassified non-coding RNA (81 nucleotides) under Kaistella treverensis. RNAcentral's name for it is "Chryseobacterium treverense Flavo-1 RNA". The record is from RNAcentral. Lineage: Bacteria; Pseudomonadati; Bacteroidota; Flavobacteriia; Flavobacteriales; Weeksellaceae.